GUAGGUGGCAAGCGUUGUCCGGAAUUAUUGGGCGUAAAGCGCGCGCAGGCGGUUCUUUAAGUCUGAUGUGAAAGCCCACGGCUCAACCGUGGAGGGUCAUUGGAAACUGGAGAACUUGAGUACAGAAGAGGAAAGCGGAAUUCCACGUGUAGCGGUGAAAUGCGUAGAGAUGUGGAGGAACACCAGUGGCUAAGGCGGCUUUCUGGUCUGUAACUGACGCUGAGGCGCGAAAGCGUGGGGAGCAAACAGGAUUAGAUACCCUGGUAGUCCACGCCGUAAACGAUGAGUGCUAAGUGUUAGGGGGGUUUCCGCCCCCCUUAGUGCUGCAGCUAACGCAUUAAGCACUCCGCCUGGGAGUAUGGCCGCAAGGCUG
RNAcentral lists this ribosomal RNA (373 nucleotides) under uncultured organism. Its description in RNAcentral is "partial 16S ribosomal RNA". It matches the Rfam family "Bacterial small subunit ribosomal RNA", at positions 527 to 896 of the family's 1533-position model. The record is from RNAcentral.